AUGAGUCGGCCUAAUGGGAUCAACAUCCCCGACGGCAAGUUCUACCUUGGAGAUGCUGGCUAUGCAUGCCAGACGGGCAUUCUUUCACCCUUUAGGAAAACUAGGUACCAUCUCAACGAGUUCUCUGGUAGGAACUAUCCUAGGACUGCGCAGGAGCUAUUUAAUCUCAGACACUCCAGCCAUAGAGUAAUUGUUGAGGGGGCAUUUGGAGCUCUGAAGAAUAGUUUUAAGAUCCUGGAUCAGAAGUCAUUCCACCCAUACUCCACUCAGGUUAAGCUUGUUCUUGCUUGUUGCAUUCUUCAUAACUGGAUACUUCAGUGGGGCUUUGAUGAACACAUGCCUGAGGAGGAAGAGGUCGAGCCUGACGAUGUUGUUAGUUCCGGCCAUGGUGUGGAGGCAUUUGACAAUGACGCUUGGAAGAACGAAAUGUUGGACUGGGCAGAGGCAAUGUGGCUUAACAGAGGUGAGUGCAGGAUUUGA
RNAcentral lists this ribosomal RNA (480 nucleotides) under Triticum aestivum (bread wheat). Its description in RNAcentral is "partial small subunit ribosomal RNA". Lineage: Eukaryota; Viridiplantae; Streptophyta; Magnoliopsida; Poales; Poaceae. The record is from RNAcentral.